CACGGGGGGGAGCAAGCGUUGUUCGGAAUUACUGGGCGUAAAGGGCGUGUAGGCGGUCAAGUAAGUGGAAUGUGAAAACGCCUCGGCUUACCCGAGGACCUGCAUCCCAAACUGCUUGGCUUGAGUAUGGGAGAGGAUGAGGGAAUUCCUGGUGUAGCGGUGAAAUGCGUAGAUAUCAGGAGGAACACCGGUGGCGAAAGCGCUCAUCUGGCCCAAUACUGACGCUGAGGCGCGAAAGCUAGGGGAGCAAACGGG
Molecule: ribosomal RNA, 255 nt
Filed under: uncultured bacterium
Lineage: Bacteria
Description: partial 16S ribosomal RNA
Rfam family: Bacterial small subunit ribosomal RNA
Source: RNAcentral